RNAcentral lists this transfer RNA (72 nucleotides) under Candidatus Sungbacteria bacterium RIFCSPHIGHO2_02_FULL_41_12b. RNAcentral's name for it is "tRNA-Thr". It matches the Rfam family "tRNA". From Rfam's summary of the family: Transfer RNA (tRNA) molecules are approximately 80 nucleotides in length. Their secondary structure includes four short double-helical elements and three loops (D, anti-codon, and T loops). The record is from RNAcentral. RNAcentral also lists the same sequence under 1 other name. Lineage: Bacteria; Candidatus Sungiibacteriota.
GCCGGAGUAGCUCAGUGGCAGAGCAACGCAUUCGUAACGCGUAGGUCGUGGGUUCGACUCCCAUCUCCGGCU